GAGAUGGAUUGAUGCCUUCCGGAAUCUGGCACAGGUGCGGCAUGGGUGUCGUCACCUCUUGUUGUGAAAUGUUGGGUUAAGUCCCCCAACGAGCGCACCCCUUAUCCUUUGUUGCCAUCGGUUCGGCCGGGAACUCAAAAGAGACUGCCACUGAUAAACUGGAGGAAGGUGGGGAUGACGUCAAGUCAUCAUGGCCCUUACAAGUAUGGCUACACACGUGCUACAAUGGCGCAUACAAAGAGAAGCGACCUCGCGAGAGCAAGCGGACCUCAUAAAGUGCGUCUUAGUCCGGAUUGGAGUCUGCAACUCGACUCCAUGAAGUCGGAAUCGCUAGUAAUCGUAAAUCAGAAUGCUACGGUGAAUACGUUCCCGGGUCUUGUACACACCGAA
RNAcentral lists this ribosomal RNA (390 nucleotides) under Enterobacter sp. MP3. RNAcentral's name for it is "bacterial SSU rRNA". It matches the Rfam family "Bacterial small subunit ribosomal RNA", at positions 1003 to 1394 of the family's 1533-position model. Lineage: Bacteria; Pseudomonadati; Pseudomonadota; Gammaproteobacteria; Enterobacterales; Enterobacteriaceae. The record is from RNAcentral.